GUAAAUACUUGCGUGUAAUCUAUGCUUUGUCAAAAACCUCUAUUCAAUUAAACAUCCUGACGGCUGGAUUUUCUCGUGGUCAACGUGUACAUUCGCAAUGGAUUAGCUGCCUGCAUCCGAAAGAAAACCAGCGCGUAGACAAAAAGAGGAGAAGAAGUAAUCUUUAACACGGCCUGAGGCACUCGUCUAUCACCGCCAAAUACAAAGGUCCACGACACAAAACCAGCACACUAUGCAGCUAACAAAGAAGACUAGGCGUGAAUAAAGGAUGGCAGUGAAUGGGCCGAACCUGAUGAAGGUAGAAUGGAAAAAAAGCAGUCGUGGUUCAAACAGAUGUGCGUGCAGAGGAUGUUCAGGACGAGAAAUGCAUUGAUCCAUCCAGCUGAGCGACCAGGACCAUGUGACGGGCCGAUCAGCCUCACACAUACGGUCACACGGCGCAACGUACAGUAAAGUCACACACACACACACACACACACACACACACACACACACACACACACACACAGCGUAUUACAAGUUCAAAGUAAGGCCUUUAAAACAUGAGGAGCCACAAAGUGAAUCAGCUAUUAGUUUCCCAGAGAAACCAUGAUUCAGGAGGUGCAGUGACGUGUUUUUCUGGGACAUGUGAGUGAGUUUGCCGCGGUACACGUAUGUACACAUAUCUGAAGCUCUCUCCCUCAUUCUAGCAACGAUGUGGCCUUUAGCUCCUCACUGAACUCCAGUUUCCAUCAGCACUGACUGUAUCCACGGGAAAGUUCUCUCUUCUACUGCGUGAUCUUCGCUGGCUGAUUGACUUUGCCCCGAGCUGCUGGUGGAGCCAACUUGGAUUACAUGAUGGAAAGUGAACAGCCACCAUUAUUUCUGCAGAUUGUUUUCAUCAAGUCCUACAAAAAAAGAGAAAAACAAACCUCCACACGUGUGUUUAUUUGCUGAAAACAUG
This is a long non-coding RNA of Gasterosteus aculeatus aculeatus (three-spined stickleback), 943 nucleotides long. The record is from Ensembl. NCBI's taxonomy places the organism in Eukaryota, Metazoa, Chordata, Actinopteri, Perciformes, Gasterosteidae.